GACAGAGGGUGCAAACGUUGCUCGGAAUCACUGGGCGUAAAGGGCGUGUAGGCGGGUAGAUAAGUCGGGCGUGAAAUCCCUAGGCUCAACCUAGGAACUGCACUCGAAACUGUUUAUCUUGAGUGCCGGAGAGGAAAGCGGAAUUCCUGGUGUAGAGGUGAAAUUCGUAGAUAUCAGGAGGAACACCAGUGGCGAAGGGCGGACUUUCUGGGACGGUAACUGAC
Molecule: ribosomal RNA, 224 nt
Filed under: uncultured bacterium
Lineage: Bacteria
Description: partial 16S ribosomal RNA
Rfam family: Bacterial small subunit ribosomal RNA
Source: RNAcentral